UACGUAGGGUGCAAGCGUUAAUCGGAAUUACUGGGCGUAAAGCGUGCGCAGGCGGUUAUACAAGACAGAUGUGAAAUCCCCGGGCUUAACCUGGGAACUGCAUUUGUGACUGUAUGGCUAGAAUCUGGCAGAGGGGGGUAGAAUUCCACGUGUAGCAGUGAAAUGCGUAGAUAUGUGGAGGAAUACCGAUGGCGAAGGCAGCCCCCUGGGCUAAGAUUGACGCUCAUGCACGAAAGCGUGGGGAGCAAACAGG
This 253-nucleotide ribosomal RNA is filed under the name uncultured prokaryote. Its description in RNAcentral is "partial 16S ribosomal RNA". It matches the Rfam family "Bacterial small subunit ribosomal RNA", at positions 524 to 776 of the family's 1533-position model. The record is from RNAcentral.